AACUCUUAACAAUAGAUAUAUCAGCUCUCUCAUUGAUAAAUAAUGUAGCAAAAUAUGAUACUUGGUGUGAAUUGUAGAAUCACGUGAACCGUCGAGUAUUUGAAUUCAAGUUGCGGCCAAAGCCAUUAAGUCGAGGGCACGCCUACCUGGGCGUGA
Non-coding RNA from Capsicum annuum, 156 nucleotides. Lineage: Eukaryota; Viridiplantae; Streptophyta; Magnoliopsida; Solanales; Solanaceae. The record is from Rfam.